Molecule: non-coding RNA, 437 nt
Organism: Manis javanica (Malayan pangolin)
Lineage: Eukaryota; Metazoa; Chordata; Mammalia; Pholidota; Manidae
Source: RefSeq, a predicted model, not a curated record
AGUUGGCAGCGGGCCCACCCUUGGCACCUCUGUUAAAGCUGUCUCCACUGAGCUGGGGCUGGGGCUGGGGGAAGACCUCGCUGGGGGCAUGACCUUGAGGCUCCUGCUGCCUGGAGCCCUGGAGGGAGCGGGUGCAGGGUCCUCCCUUCCACCAGAGCCAGCAGGUGCCCUGGAACGCAGGCCUGGCCCUUGGGACUGCCCUGGUGGCUCCCAAGGCACACGGUUUAGUCCAGGGUCCUUGAACCGUGGCAGGUGGGCCAAAUCCAGCCACUGCCUGGUUUUGUUUGGCCGGCAGGGUCACGUCAGCCCGGCCUGAUGCCUCUGUCACUUGACCUUCUGCCAAUGCCCAGCUGUGAAUCAGUGGAGCCAGCUGCCCUCUGCCUCUUGCUCACCUGCAGAUUCCCACCUGUCCCCUGCUCAGUGUCACUUCCUGGACU